RNAcentral lists this ribosomal RNA (253 nucleotides) under uncultured bacterium. Its description in RNAcentral is "partial 16S ribosomal RNA". It matches the Rfam family "Bacterial small subunit ribosomal RNA", at positions 524 to 776 of the family's 1533-position model. The record is from RNAcentral.
UACGGGGGGGGCAAGCGUUGUUCGGAAUUACUGGGCGUAAAGGGCUCGUAGGCGGCCAACUAAGUCAGACGUGAAAUCCCUCGGCUUAACCGGGGAACUGCAUCUGAUACUGGAUGGCUUGAGUUCGGGAGAGGGAUGUGGAAUUCCAGGUGUAGCGGUGAAAUGCGUAGAUAUCUGGAGGAACACCGGUGGCGAAGGCGGCAUCCUGGACCGACACUGACGCUGAGGAGCGAAAGCCAGGUGAGCAAACGGG